Molecule: ribosomal RNA, 427 nt
Filed under: uncultured bacterium
Lineage: Bacteria
Description: bacterial SSU rRNA
Rfam family: Bacterial small subunit ribosomal RNA
Source: RNAcentral
UGGGGAAUUUUGGACAAUGGGCGAAAGCCUGAUCCAGCAAUGCCGCGUGUGUGAAGAAGGCCUUCGGGUUGUAAAGCACUUUUGUCCGGAAAGAAAUCCGCCUGGCUAAUACCAGGGCGGGAUGACGGUACCGGAAGAAUAAGCACCGGCUAACUACGUGCCAGCAGCCGCGGUAAUACGUAGGGUGCGAGCGUUAAUCGGAAUUACUGGGCGUAAAGCGUGCGCAGGCGGUUAUGCAAGACAGGUGUGAAAUCCCCGGGCUCAACCUGGGAACUGCACUUGUGACUGCAUGACUAGAGUGCGUCAGAGGGAGGUGGAAUUCCGCGUGUAGCAGUGAAAUGCGUAGAGAUGCGGAGGAACACCGAUGGCGAAGGCAGCCUCCUGGGAUGACACUGACGCUCAUGCACGAAAGCGUGGGGAGCAAACA